ACUGCACCAAUAAUAUGUGAAUUUCUCACAAUGAUGGCGGUAUGUCACACAGCAGUACCAGAGCGGGAAGGUGAUAAGAUUAUUUACCAGGCAGCAUCUCCAGAUGAGGGAGCCUUGGUCAGAGCAGCCAAGCAGCUGAAUUUUGUUUUCACUGGAAGAACGCCUGACUCAGUGAUUAUAGAUUCACUGGGGCAGGAAGAAAGAUAUGAGUUGCUCAAUGUCUUGGAGUUCACCAG
Odocoileus virginianus texanus is the source of this 236-nucleotide non-coding RNA. NCBI's taxonomy places the organism in Eukaryota, Metazoa, Chordata, Mammalia, Artiodactyla, Cervidae. The record is from RefSeq and is a predicted model, not a curated record.